Molecule: long non-coding RNA, 1323 nt
Organism: Pocillopora damicornis (cauliflower coral)
Lineage: Eukaryota; Metazoa; Cnidaria; Anthozoa; Scleractinia; Pocilloporidae
Source: RefSeq, a predicted model, not a curated record
GUACCUCAGUUGGUAGUAGUGCCCAACUUGUAUCUUGGAGGCUCUGCGGGUUCUAAUCCUUUCAAAGUGACACAAUGUCAGUCGACGAGAAACAGAUUAUUUGGUAGCACUAAUUGUCCGUGAUUCCUUUAAAGAACAACCUUUGGAACCAGUUGUAGAUGUUUCAAGUGGACGCAGUGCUCGUGAAAAACCCCCAAAAUGAAUUCAAGCUGUUGUGUCUAAGGCGGCUCGUAGAAGGGUAACAUGCCAUGUUUCUUCACAUGUCCAUUGAAGAGAAUCGUCUGGAAAGCUGACUCAAAAUGGCUCUUUAAACGUUCCAGUUUCGUCUUAUCACACAGAACACUGCUGAGUGCUGACCUCGCCUUUCAGUAAAGGAAGAAGCCUAACAGGCAACGGGCCCUUGAGGCUCUGACUGCUCCACGUGAUCGGCUGGGCCUGCACAGAAGGGAGGGAAGCAGUUCCAUGCCCUCUCUGGCAGACAUUAGGGGGUUUAAGAAAACCGCAACAGGAACGAGAACGUCACUAAAUAAAAGGUUUAAUGAGCAGAACAAUGGCUGUGCACGUGCGUUAAAAAUUUUUGUAAAUUUUUCUGCGUCUUCUGAAAAACAACGGUGAAACGUAGGCUAGGGUUCGCUACAUCGAAAACCUCGAUUAAACGAAUUUGCGGGAAAAAAACCAAAAUGUUCGUUAUAUCGAGCAUUAAUAGUUUUUUUGGAUCGGAACGAUUAUUGUAAAUAAAAUUUGUGCUUUAAUGUCUAUAUGAAGCUACGAUAGGCUGUACAGGUCUGUGCAUAACUACAGCACCCUGUUUUUAAAGCACGGAGGACAAAUCUCAUUGGAAGUCACUGGCAAACGGAGAAACAAGGGUAGUGGACAGGAAAUUCCUGCCUCUGAUACCUUUAACUGCAAGAAGCCUUCAAAAGAAAAGAGGUUAAAUUCAACUAAUUAGACCUAAUAAGAGACAAGGAGGACAAAGCGGAUCUGUAGAUGUGUCAAUAGUGUCAGUGUCGGCAUUUGUGGGAUUUAUGAUAAUCAUAAAUCUCGUUCUUUUGUCAUUGCGUCAGUGGCCAUCUCAGAAUUUCCAAUUAUACAGACGCAAAUGCAGUAGCCAUUAAGUCCUUGCGUCACUGGCUUUAAUUUAUUAUGGUUGGUAAUAAUAUAUACCAGAGCUCGAAAGCUCAUUGGCUACUUUGGUCACUGUACACGAUUAAAUAUUCUUUCUUCUAGCUAAUUUCUGUUUGUAUUUUUUCUAUAUCAUUGUAAAUCAUGUUAAGUUAUUUUUUCUGUAAAUAGUGUGAACAAAUAAUAAAGUAUGAAAAAGUG